Non-coding RNA from Ciona savignyi (Pacific transparent sea squirt), 61 nucleotides. The record is from Rfam. Lineage: Eukaryota; Metazoa; Chordata; Ascidiacea; Phlebobranchia; Cionidae.
AUCUCGGGCUUGGUUAGUACUUGGAUGGGUGACCGCUUGGGAAUACCAAGUGUGAUAAGCA